Non-coding RNA from Potamilus streckersoni, 75 nucleotides. NCBI's taxonomy places the organism in Eukaryota, Metazoa, Mollusca, Bivalvia, Unionida, Unionidae. The record is from the annotation of a GenBank genome assembly.
AACUCCAGCAGCCUAGGUUGUUAGAGCGCCUGCCUCGAAUGCGGAAGGUCGCGGGUUCGAACCCCGACCGAGUCA